This 880-nucleotide long non-coding RNA is filed under the name Anas platyrhynchos platyrhynchos (common mallard). RNAcentral's name for it is "lncRNA (ENSAPLG00000027498.1)". The record is from RNAcentral. Lineage: Eukaryota; Metazoa; Chordata; Aves; Anseriformes; Anatidae.
CCUCUACCUGUAUCAUACUCUGUUAAUCCCAAUGGACAGACAAUGACUGAAGCCCAGUGUGGCAUGGAGCAGGCCCACCAGCUCCAUUAUUAACCAUUUUCUUUUCAAAUCACCAGAAGUUUCUUUUCCUUUCCUUCACACUUCCUCUCUAGUGAGUGGCUCCUCUCAGUGAUUUUCACUAUGGUUCUUCCUACAUUUCCAGGCUGCCUAGAGCAUUGCAACAGCUCCUCUGAUGUAGCAUGAGGCCCCUGGCUGCUCAUUGUCAUGACAACUGGAAAAACAAGAGGCCUAGGCCACCACCUCAGGAGUUGUAAUGGAAGGAUGAUGCCACCAGUAAGGACAGCCUCAUGUGAAGCCAGAGGCUUUUGGAGACUCCUGAAGAUUGGAGGCAGCUGCAGAAGUGAAGUGACCCAGAGUGAGCAGUGCAAUGGACAGUGCUCCUGGGGAAAGUGGCUAAAAUUGAAAUAACCACUGUGUGAAAUGAAGUAUCUACAAACCCUCCCCUGGGCAAGCUCCCAACCUGAGGAACUGGCACCAGGAGGUUUGUCCCAAUGUGAUGCAUGAAAUGAAGAUUGUGUAGCUCUCUAAAUCCAGAUUACCAGCUGAUUUCCUCCCCUAAAUUCCAAGGCACCAUCUGUCAAAAUCACGAAGACCUCCACUACCAGGCUCUUUGAGAUGGGAAAGUGUCAUCUCCACUUCUGCAUACAGGAUGCUGAGGAGCAGAACAGCUGAGGCUGUGCUUGCACAAAAAAAAUGAAGGUAUAUUCAAAGUAUAAGGAAAGGCACACACUUGCUGGCCAUAUUUCCUUACCACAGGUAAGGAAACAAGGAGCAUAUGAAAACAGUUUUUUUUGCAAGGACAACAAAUAUUUAUGCCCCC